CAUAACAUUAUAUGGCGGAGAUAUAACAAAGAUAAAGGUGUAGUGUAAGGCCCUUGGGUGCAGGGGGGUGGCAACUCUAAUAGGCCAUUAUGUACCCAGAUACUAUUUUUAAUCUGCACAACAGAUAGCGCUAGUAGAUUGACCUAGUUCUUUUGUAAAUUCAUAGGUAGCGUUAGUGUUCAUAAUCAAAUGUCAAUUGAAUGUUUAUAAGAAACUAAAUUUAUGCAAUAAAUACUAAUAAUGCAAUAAAUAUAGUGUAAUAUUAAUUUAUUUUGAUUUCAAAAACAGUUGAUUUGUAAAAAUUGUUUUUUUUUUGCAGUAAUAUUCGUUUACAGAUUGAUUUGAGCAUUAUAGUCGCUCUUUUUUUUUUCGGUUUGUAGUAGAUUUUGGUCGAGUGAAAGAUGGAUUUUACAAUGGAGUUUGAUUUAUCAUUUUGAAUUAUUUUCCUAUAUGAUUGUGAAUUAAGAAGCCGAUGAAGAUGCCUGUGAAUACACAUCAAUGUUUUGUGUCUUCGUGCAGGAACAGUAUUACUGUUAAUCCUGAUGUGACAACAUUCAGAUUUCCAUGAAGCCGAAGCAAGUUAUUGAAGUGGAUUGCUGCAAUUGGCUAUGACCUUGAUGCCAGUAAUGCUGAAACAUUUAAAACUAAAUAUGUAUGUUCCGAACAUUUUGAUAUUGGAGCUUUCACUACAUGUGACUGCAUCAAAUUGAAUCGUGGUGCUGCUACAACAUAUUUUAAUUCUGUGGACAGUGAAGUAUGGAUCUAUUGUUAUAAUUUAUUAUGUCUAGAAUGCUGCCAAAUAUAGGUGAAAUGUUUAUGUUACAUAACAUAACUUGUAAGAUCUACUUGUGCAGAUAUAUAUUUUCACCUGCCUCUAAGGUCCUUUGUUAUUCACAGGUAGCAUUUACAUGUGAUGAAGCAGUAUUUAACAUUAUUGGUCAACAUGCAGUCCAUUAUUACAACCUUUGUACAGGCGCAUACAAACAUAUAUGUGUGGGGUAUUUCACACUUUUUAUUUGAUGUUAAAGAUUGGUAUGGUGACCGGGAUACUUUUUUUUAUUAAACCUCCUACACAGUUCUCUACUGUUUCCCUUAUCUGUUGCCUUAACAUUUUUUUCCGAUCAGUCCAAUUCCUUGAAUCACAUUGCAAAAAAAUUCACAAUACAUGGGAUUGGGCCACUCUCUUCAAAGAAUUGUAAUUCGAGUUUAAACAUAGCAAGGCUGACCAUAAAUUGUAGAGGAAAAUUUAAAAUGUUGAUCUUCAACAUAUUUAUAACCUAUGAUCAUGUGAUGUAUAUACAGCUAGUUAGAAAGUAAGUUGUAGUAUAGUAUGCAAUUGAACCUUCAAUAAGUUCUACAUCCACACUUAAAAACUUAUUUUACUUGAUGUUUUAUGUUCAAUAACUAUUCAGUAUAAAGGUUUUUUUUUACAUUAUAAACUACAAAAGUAUUCCGAUUUGUAAAUGUAAUGAAAUUCCACUGAGCCCUCUACCUUUUUUUUAACUACCAUUUCUGCCGUGUGGCCUUUUUUUUCUUACUUUUGUGUUCAUUAUAAGUUACAACCACUCAUUUGAUUUAUUGUGUUAAAUUAAAUGAUAUUUAAAAUUGGAUGUCACUUCAUAAGAACAUUCAGGAUUACCUGUAUUCACAGCGCACAAUUAUACAAAAGUUUUUUAUGUAUGUAAAAGUGUUUUACGUAAGCCAGUGGACACAUACAUGUAUUGAGUAACAUGAGAAAAUUGAAAUAUCUAAAAUAAAAUUAAAAGGUUACAAGCUUUUAUAUACAUGCAGCUCCCAAAAAAGUCUGCAUACUAAAAAAUAACACAUGCUUUUAAAUGAAUUCUUACCAUCUUAUAAACUAGUAGUAUUUUGUUAUUUGAUUCCAAAUGAAUUGUUUUUGGUUAAUUUAUUUGACUGUAGGGAUUAAAUAUCAUUUGUAGAAUAAAGUGUGAAAAGUAGUAUUGAUCAAUUUAACUGUAAGUACUAAAUAUGUGUUACAUUUCUUGUAAGUUAAAAUUGUUCAGGUAUUAUAAAUUAGCUGAAAAAAGCAAACUCAUGACUAGAAUAAAUUGUACUGUUAGGUAUGUUUCGAAGAAAGACUACCUGUUGCAGUCGUUACCAUGUGUAUGUACCACAUUUUUAUUGUCAUUAUAACUGCCAUAAUUUUGUACAAAUAAAUCACUUAAUACAUAAAAUAUGGUUAUGGAAAUUCUCAGUUGAGUUUGUUAAUGGAUAUAGGCCAACAAAAGGGGUAUAAAUGGGGAAGAUUUUUUGAAAAACAUUUAAAUCACUUCAACUCCCAUAACAUGAAACAUAUCACAUCUGUUUGAACAUAUUAUAACUUAAAGGAGUAUUACCAAAAAUUUUGUCUACAUACUUGAAUAUGACCAGCCAUAACUGUUAAGGGGUGGGAAAAAACAAGGGUUUGAGGACAAAAAACUCCUAACUAUCUUAGUAGGCACACCAUAGAAUCUGUUCAAAUUUGUUGUCAAUUUUAAAAAAUUUUAUAACCACCUGAUAACCACCAAGGGUGCUGUGGGUAAAAUAAUGAGGGGUUAAUGGACAAACAAAUAUUCUUAAUUACUCUAUUAAGUUAACUAUAAAAUCUAUAACAAUUAUUGCAAUUCUUCUAAAACUUGUAUAAAACUUUGAUCUGAAACAAUUUUUUUAGGAUUAACCAGUGCUGCAAGAAGUUGAAAAUACCAGUGGGUGGAAAUUUAAAAAAAUAAUAAUAAAACUUCUGUACAGUGUACACUAUCGCAUCCAUUCUUAUUUAUUUAAAACUUUCUAAAUAUCUUUUGAAACUUUAAUGUAACCAAACAUUACUGCAAUGAGUGAAAAUAAUAUAUUCAGAGACAAAAAAUGAUAACUUUAAUUAUUGCACUUGCUCUCUGUAUGCUGACUGCAUUGCUAAAAUGCACAUAGACCUCCAAUUAAAUUAAUAAAAUAAAGUAUUCUGCAAAAUGUUGAUAGCGAAACAAUUAAAAUUGUGCCAAUCUCACCUGUGUACAUGAAAAUCUAUAUUAUGCUUCAAAUAGGCUAUUUUAUAAACCAGAAAAUGAAAUUACCUA
This is a long non-coding RNA of Bacillus rossius redtenbacheri, 3071 nucleotides long. RefSeq lists it as uncharacterized. The transcript is spliced from 2 exons. The record is from RefSeq and is a predicted model, not a curated record. Lineage: Eukaryota; Metazoa; Arthropoda; Insecta; Phasmatodea; Bacillidae.